Molecule: ribosomal RNA, 624 nt
Filed under: Triticum aestivum (bread wheat)
Lineage: Eukaryota; Viridiplantae; Streptophyta; Magnoliopsida; Poales; Poaceae
Description: partial small subunit ribosomal RNA
Source: RNAcentral
AUGUCGCAAAGUUGUGCACUGAUGCCCAAGAUGGGCAUGUUCAUGAAGGUUGCGUCUCAAGUCCGUUUAAAUUGGCUUUGGUCUGCGUUGGAAAGAAACGGGCAUUUGGUUCUCUCAACGACUCGACAUCUGCUGUUUGGGAAUGCAUUUUUCUCUUUGAGUUACGGAGGUGAUGUCCUUGUGUUUGAUUUUCAAAUACAAAGCCUUUGUGUGAUCGAGAAGCUGGCAGACAAGCAUGUUUUUUCCCAGUGGCAUUUCCAGCUCUUGCGGAUGAAGGAUGGUGGGCUUGGCCUUGCUGUUUCGUCGAAACAGACCAUCCAAUUCUGGGAGAGGAAAUCUUACUGUGAUGGUGUUGUCAGAUGGGUGUCAUUGCGGAAAACCAUCCCACAUGAGUGGUUGUUCCCACGGAGAAUGCAUAAUGACCACAUAAUAGUUGUUUCUGUGGAGUAUGAUGACGAGACAAAUGUGAUUGUUAUAUCUAUUGUUGGCGUCUUCAUGUUCCCACUUGACUCGAUGCAGAUCAAACAGAUUAUUAAAAGAAAUGACAUAUGUUAUCUCGAAUAUCAUCCCUACACAAAUUUCUAUGCUAGAUGUAAUACCGCCCUAUCUACAUUUCACAAGUGA